RNAcentral lists this ribosomal RNA (432 nucleotides) under uncultured bacterium. Its description in RNAcentral is "partial 16S ribosomal RNA". It matches the Rfam family "Bacterial small subunit ribosomal RNA", at positions 28 to 507 of the family's 1533-position model. The record is from RNAcentral.
GAUGAACGCUGGCGGUAUGCUUAACACAUGCAAGUCGAGCGGUCACUUCGGUGAUAGUGGCGGACGGGUGAGUAACGCGUGAGAAUCUGUCUUCAGGUCGGGGACAACAGUUAGAAAUGACUGCUAAUACCGGAUGUGCCUUUGGGUGAAAGAUUUAUUGCCUGAAAAAGAGCUCGCGUCAGAUUAGCUAGUAGGUGGUGUAAGAGACUACCUAGGCUCCGAUCUGUAGCUGGUCUGAGAGGACGAUCAGCCACACUGGAACUGAGACACGGUCCAGACUCCUACGGGAGGCAGCAGUGGGGAAUUUUCCGCAAUGGGCGAAAGCCUGACGGAGCAAUACCGCGUGAGGGACGAAGGCUUUUGGGUCGUAAACCUCUUUUCUCAAGGAAGAUGAUGACGGUACUUGAGGAAUAAGCAUCGGCUAACUCUGUG